AUGAAGACCAACUGGAUCGUCCUCAUCAACCAAUCCGCAGACGCAAAUGCGCUGGCCUUCAAGAUUCCAGGACCUGGAAUCAUACCAGCCGAUGGCACGACCCUCUUUUGUUGGAUAUUAUGUAAUGUUGUUAGUUUGAAGCACUCCUCUGUUAAAACAGUCGAUUGUUCAUACAUUGAGUACCAUAUAACUGGAAUUAACCGAUGCAAGUCGAAGAAGGAUUGGCCGGUGCUGCCGACUGGCAUCAAGUUCGAUCCCACGGAUCAGGAGCUGAUCGAGCACCUUGAGGCCAAAGUGAGUGCUGACAGCGCGAGAUCUCACCCUCUCAUCGAUUUGUUCAUACCAACCAUCGACAACGAGCACGGCAUAUGCUACACCCAUCGUGAGAAACUUCCAGGUAUCACACUGAGUGGCCUAAGCAAGCAUUUCUUCCAGCGCAAAUCCAGGGCGUUCAAAAGGGGCACGUGGACGCGUCACAAGAUACAGUCGGAGUGCGGCAUGCACGCGAUGUGGCACAACACCGGUAACACCUUGCCGGUGAUGGUCAACGGCCGGCAGACGGGCAGCAAAAAGUUCUGGUGCUGCACACCAACAAGAACUUCGACCAGCAGAGGACCAACUGGGUGA
This 627-nucleotide ribosomal RNA is filed under the name Triticum aestivum (bread wheat). Its description in RNAcentral is "partial small subunit ribosomal RNA". The record is from RNAcentral. Lineage: Eukaryota; Viridiplantae; Streptophyta; Magnoliopsida; Poales; Poaceae.